RNAcentral lists this ribosomal RNA (73 nucleotides) under Pseudoduganella rivuli. RNAcentral's name for it is "partial 16S ribosomal RNA". It matches the Rfam family "Bacterial small subunit ribosomal RNA", at positions 1466 to 1533 of the family's 1533-position model. Lineage: Bacteria; Pseudomonadati; Pseudomonadota; Betaproteobacteria; Burkholderiales; Oxalobacteraceae. The record is from RNAcentral.
GAUUCGUGACUGGGGUGAAGUCGUAACAAGGUAGCCGUAUCGGAAGGUGCGGCUGGAUCACCUCCUUUCUAGA